UCCCUGACAACAGGGACAUCUGGCUGCUUGGUGAGCUAAUAAAGAUGAGCAAGCAUCAUGACCCCCGGCCCUCAUUCUACUGCCAUUGUUCUAGUGAAGUUGGAAUUCAUCCAGAGGCACGUUUCACUGUUCUGUUCACAGGCAUGUUCAGAGAUUACUGGGGAUUCAAGAAGAUGAGAAGCUGUGGAUUCCUUCCAGGUUAAGAUGGAUCAGGUUUGAUCAAGGAAGAUGCCCUGAGAGGUUUCCAGAUAUUAAAACACCCAGAUUAGCUUCAAGGCAACUGUCUCAGACAAUGCAGCCUCACAGACUAUUCCAGUAA
Molecule: long non-coding RNA, 319 nt
Organism: Onychomys torridus (southern grasshopper mouse)
Lineage: Eukaryota; Metazoa; Chordata; Mammalia; Rodentia; Cricetidae
Exons: 3
Source: RefSeq, a predicted model, not a curated record